This is a long non-coding RNA of Zalophus californianus (California sea lion), 969 nucleotides long. RefSeq lists it as uncharacterized. The record is from RefSeq and is a predicted model, not a curated record. The transcript has 3 exons. NCBI's taxonomy places the organism in Eukaryota, Metazoa, Chordata, Mammalia, Carnivora, Otariidae.
UGUGCGGAUGACCACCCUAGGGAAGCCUCCCGGGACCACGCUGCCGGCCUCGGGGCCCAGUAGUGAAAAGAAUUAUCCCCAAAGCCAGUCGUAUCCAGCCCCAGAGACAAUUCUGACUGGGCUGCCUACUGAAUGUUGGGGUCGCUCACAGAGACACCUCUGAAGAUUUAAGCAGUUCUUGGAUACAGUUGGAGUCUGGGGUCCUGUUGUGCAUGUACCUGCUAGCUCCUUUUCCUGGACCGUCCCCACCCCCGGGCAGAUGUGCCCUCUGCCCAGGAUGUUGGCUGGACCACAACGCCCAGAAGGGGAAAAUUUGGACACAGAAGCAGACACAAAUAUAGGGAAAGUGAUGUGAAGACAUGGGAGAGGAUGACCAUCUACAAGAUGGAGUAGAGGACUGGAGCAUGUCCUCUCCUGGCCCUCAGAAGGAACCAACCCUGCCCACACCUUGAUUAUGGACUUCUGGCCUCCAGAACUGUGAUAUGAUAGGAUAAAUUUCUCUUGUUUAAUCUACCCAGUUUGUGAGACUUUGUUAUAGCAGCCCUAGCAAACUAAUACAUGUGCUAAAUGUUUUACAAAUAUUAACUCAUGUAAUCCUUACCAUCAAACCUACAAGAUAUGGAAAAUGGAGGGAAGAAAAGUUAAGUACCACUAGAAGGAAGAAGUCCACCUAAUCCAGAAGGUGGAGCAUUCCACAGGAUAAAUGAUAAGGCUACUCCAACAAAACAAUGUUGUGAUUUAAAGAGAGAGAGGGAAUGGUUAUUAGAAUCCAAGUGGCUUAAGGGGCACCUGGGUGGCUCAGUGGGUUGAGUGACCAACUCCUGAUUUGGGCUCAGGUCAUGAUCUCAGAGUCUUGUCGUGAGACCAUGCCCCCAUCUCUGUGUUCAGUGGGGAUUCUGCUUCUCUCCUUCUCCCUCUUCUUCUGCCCCUCCCCCUGCACACAUGUGCUCCCACAAAUACAGAGAAAGU